AGUGAACGCUGGCGGUAGGCCUAACACAUGCAAGUCGAACGGCAGCACAGUAAGAGCUUGCUCUUACGGGUGGCGAGUGGCGGACGGGUGAGGAAUACAUCGGAAUCUACUUUUUCGUGGGGGAUAACGUAGGGAAACUUACGCUAAUAUCGCAUACGACCUACGGGUGAAAGCCGGGGAUCUUCGGACCUUGCGCGAUUGAAUGAGCCGAUGUCGGAGUAGCUAGUUGGUGGGGUAAAGGCCCACCAAGGCGACGAUCCGUAGCUGGCCUGAGAGGAUGAUCAGCCACACUGGAACUGAGACACGGUCCAGACUCCUACGGGAGGCAGCAGUGGGGAAUAGUAGACAAUGGGCGCAAGCCUGAUCCAGCCAUACCGCGUGGGUGAAGAAGGCCUUCGGGUUGUAAAGCCCUUUUGUUGGGAAAGAAAAGCAGCAGGUUAAUACCCCGCUGUUCUGACGGUACCCAAAGAAUAAGCACCGGCUAACUUCGUG
This 492-nucleotide ribosomal RNA is filed under the name uncultured bacterium. RNAcentral describes it as "partial 16S ribosomal RNA". It matches the Rfam family "Bacterial small subunit ribosomal RNA", at positions 29 to 507 of the family's 1533-position model. The record is from RNAcentral.